RNAcentral lists this ribosomal RNA (433 nucleotides) under uncultured bacterium. RNAcentral's name for it is "partial 16S ribosomal RNA". It matches the Rfam family "Bacterial small subunit ribosomal RNA", at positions 29 to 507 of the family's 1533-position model. The record is from RNAcentral.
AACGAACGCUGGCGGCAGGCUUAACACAUGCCAGUCGAACGCCCCUUUCGGGGUGAGUGGCAGUCGGGUGAGUAACGCGUGGGAAUCUACCCUUCUCUACGGGAUAGCUCCGGGAAACUGGAAUUAAUACCGUAUACGUCCUGAGGGAGCAAGAUUUAUCUGGGAAGGGUGAGCCCGCGUUGGAUUCGCCAGUUGGGGUGGUAAAGGCCUACCAGGGCGUCGAUCCAUAGCUGGUCUAAGAGGAUGGUCAGCCACAUUGGGACUGAGACACGGCCCAAACUCCUACGGGAGGCAGGAGAGGGUAAUACUGGACAAUGGGGGCAAGCCUGAACCAGCCAUGGCGCGUGAGUGAUGAAGUCGCGAGGGUUGUAAAGCUCUUUAAGAGGGGACUAUAAUGACGGUACCCACAGAAGAAGCCCCGGCUAACUUCGUG